ACUUGUUCUUUAAAUGGGGACUUGUAUGAAUGGCAUCACGAGGGUUAUACUGUCUCCUUUUUCCAAUCAGUGAAUCUAAUCUCCCCGUGAAGAAACGGGGAUACAACUAUAAGACGAGAAGACCCUAUGGAGCUUUAAAUACCUCUUCAAACGUUGGACCUUUCCCCUCAGUUUUUAACUCACUUAUAUUAACCCUGAACGCCAUGAAGACAACUUUUAGGUUGGGGUGACCGCGGAGAACAACAAAACCUCCACGCUGAAUCAGACUUUCUAAGCCUGAACUAAGAGCCACCGCUCAAUGCACUAAAAAAUUAACAUCUAUUGACCCAAUACAUCACUUGAUCAACGAACCAAGUUACCCUAGGGAUAACAGCGCAAUCCAUUUCAAGAGUCCAUAUCGACAAGUGG
RNAcentral lists this ribosomal RNA (408 nucleotides) under Scinax fuscomarginatus (brown-bordered snouted treefrog). Its description in RNAcentral is "partial 16S ribosomal RNA". It matches the Rfam family "Bacterial large subunit ribosomal RNA", at positions 1967 to 2515 of the family's 2925-position model. Lineage: Eukaryota; Metazoa; Chordata; Amphibia; Anura; Hylidae. The record is from RNAcentral.